AGAAAAGCAUUGACAGGGAAGAGUACAGUGCAAGCUGCCUAAAGAGAGGAAAACCCCAAGCUGAAAGGUUUUCCAGGCAGAAUCAUUGGAAGGUCGCCCUUGAGCUUCUUUCGCGAACAGAACGUGUUCACAGUAGCGAAAGACGGGAAAACCGUUAUCAGAUUAAGCGCCUGGCAGGAUUGCAUUACUUGCCCGGAAAAAAGGUGGUACCGCGAAAUCAGCUCCAUUCGUCCUUUUA
Molecule: non-coding RNA, 238 nt
Filed under: Bacillus infantis
Lineage: Bacteria; Bacillati; Bacillota; Bacilli; Caryophanales; Bacillaceae
Description: T-box sequence
Rfam family: T-box leader
About the family: Uncharged tRNA acts as the effector for transcription antitermination of genes in the T-box leader family. T-boxes are found upstream of many aminoacyl-tRNA synthetase genes and some amino acid biosynthetic genes usually in Gram-positive bacteria.
Source: RNAcentral